Molecule: ribosomal RNA, 488 nt
Filed under: uncultured bacterium
Lineage: Bacteria
Description: partial 16S ribosomal RNA
Rfam family: Bacterial small subunit ribosomal RNA
Source: RNAcentral
AUUGAACGCUGGCGGCAUGCUUUACACAUGCAAGUCGAACGGCAGCACAGGGAGCUUGCUCCUGGGUGGCGAGUGGCGAACGGGUGAGUAAUGUAUCGGAACGUGCCUGGUAGUGGGGGAUAACUACUCGAAAGAGUGGCUAAUACCGCAUGAGAUCUUUGGAUGAAAGCGGGGGACCUUCGGGCCUCGUGCUACUGGAGCGGCCGAUAUCAGAUUAGGUUGUUGGUGGGGUAAAGGCCUACCAAGCCUGCGAUCUGUAGCUGGUCUGAGAGGACGACCAGCCACACUGGGACUGAGACACGGCCCAGACUCCUACGGGAGGCAGCAGUGGGGAAUGUGGGACAAUGGGCGCAAGCCUGAUCCAGCAAUGCCGCGUGCAGGACGAAGGCCUUCGGGUUGUAAACUGCUUUUGUACAGAACGAAAAGUCUCUGGCUAAUAUCUAGAGAUCAUGACGGUACUGUAAGAAUAAGCACCGGCUAACUACGUG